This is a non-coding RNA of Oleoguttula sp. CCFEE 5521, 116 nucleotides long. NCBI's taxonomy places the organism in Eukaryota, Fungi, Ascomycota, Dothideomycetes, Mycosphaerellales, Teratosphaeriaceae. The record is from the annotation of a GenBank genome assembly.
GGACGCAUGGUCUAGUGGUAUGACGUAACCUUUACAGAGACUGCUGCUAUCGUCGUCGACGUCGUGGUAUCGAGAGUAUUCGGUUCAGGUCCUGGGUUCGAUCCCCAGUGUGUUCA